CUUGACCGAGCCCAGGUACAGCGGCUCCGCCCGGUCCUGCCCGUAGGUGGCCAGCAGGGCCUGGGCCUC
Molecule: antisense RNA, 69 nt
Rfam family: ASpks TB sRNA